UGGGCUGGUCGAAAGACCCGGGUCCAACCGAUUUGGUAGGCAGACUGCCU
This 50-nucleotide non-coding RNA is filed under the name unclassified sequences. RNAcentral's name for it is "DUF3800-XI RNA". It matches the Rfam family "DUF3800-XI RNA". From Rfam's summary of the family: Actinobacteria, Firmicutes, Proteobacteria, Spirochaetes (1 example). Nearby to DUF3800 The record is from Rfam by way of RNAcentral.